Long non-coding RNA from Dreissena polymorpha, 483 nucleotides. RefSeq lists it as uncharacterized. The record is from RefSeq and is a predicted model, not a curated record. The transcript has 3 exons. NCBI's taxonomy places the organism in Eukaryota, Metazoa, Mollusca, Bivalvia, Myida, Dreissenidae.
CGCGAAUACUUCGUCUGCGGACAUGUUGAUCCAUGAGAAAGUCACGAUUAUUUUUCUAAUCCAUUGUCAAAGAAAAGUGUGCACAGACAGGUGAUUGGAGGCGGGCUACAGUGCAAAAGGAACCUCUCACCCAAACGUCACGUCAUUGGCGUCCACAGCCUGUUCGUAUUCUACAGUCCGAGGAUAUGGGUCCAAAAAAGAGACCUUCACUUGUGAGCAGCCCUGCCCAAUCAGAGGCAAAGAAAAUUUCAAAGAAAUAUCUCGGAAACCGAAUGAGUCCUGGGAAAAAACAGCGAGUGAGAAGGGCUCUGUACAGUCUGACUGUAAGUAAAGAUGUGUCGUUGCGGAAAGCUGCGUUGGAUAAUGAUCUGUCUUAUUCAAUGUUAUACAGACGAUGGAAAGGAGAAGUUGACAUUUUCAAAUUAAAUGGACCUAGCUCAAUUUUUAAUGAAGCUGAAGAAGAGAAAAUGGCGAGAUGGCUAA